CCUACGGGUGGCAGCAGUAGGGAAUCUUUCACAAUGGGCGAAAGCCUGAUGGAGCAACGCCGCGUGCAGGAUGAAGGCCUUCGGGUUGUAAACUGCUUUUAUAAGCGAGAAAUAUGAUGGUAACUUAUGAAUAAGGAUCGGCUAACUACGUGCCAGCAGCGGCGGUCAUACGUAGGAUCCGAGCAUUAUCCGGAGUGACUGGGUGUAAAGAGUUGCGUAGGUGGCAUAAUAAGUAGCUAGUGAAAUCUGGUGGCUCAACCAUUCAGACUAUUAGCUAAACUGUUAAGCUCGAGACCGUUAGAGGUAACUGGAAUUUCUAGUGUAGGAGUGAAAUCCGUAGAUAUUAGAAAGAACACCAAUAGCGUAGGCAGGUUGCUGGGACGGUUCUGACACUAAGGCACGAAAGCGUAGGGAGCAAACGGGAUUAGAUACCCUUGUAGUC
RNAcentral lists this ribosomal RNA (442 nucleotides) under uncultured bacterium. RNAcentral's name for it is "partial 16S ribosomal RNA". It matches the Rfam family "Bacterial small subunit ribosomal RNA", at positions 338 to 795 of the family's 1533-position model. The record is from RNAcentral.